Bombyx mori (domestic silkworm) is the source of this 1755-nucleotide long non-coding RNA. RefSeq lists it as uncharacterized. The transcript is spliced from 2 exons. Lineage: Eukaryota; Metazoa; Arthropoda; Insecta; Lepidoptera; Bombycidae. The record is from RefSeq and is a predicted model, not a curated record.
GCAAUAGGAGUGACUCACACAAGCCAGGCGCGCCGGCCGUGUCGUUCCACUCGUAAACAACAGCUGCAACAGAAGUGACUCAUAAGCCAGCUGCGCCGGCUAGUAUAAAAAGGCGGAACGUGCCUUGAAAUGGACAUUCGUUGAACUGCGCUUGCCUGGUGCACUUACUAUAUUCUUGUUACGUUGUGUGAUUCAGUGACUGUUGUACGUACUGGUUAAAGUUGGACAAGUGUUAAAGUGAAUUGUUACGAUAACAUAUUUUUGAUUAAAUCAGGAAUCAAAAAGUGACAUCGUUUUACUUGGUGUUCAACAAGAUAAUAUCUACCCUCAAGCUUACACCAGAAGUGAGAUCAGGACUCUACUCUCACUGGCGUGACGUGUUUGAACAUGUUCGAAGUACAGCAAAAAAAAACAUGAUGCAGAUCAGAAUACUAGUAGUGGUACGCCACAAGAGCGUGAAUGCAGCAUACGUAAGUCGUGUAAUAACGUCUCUGUUACCUCGAUGGAAGAUCUGAGCCACGAAGAAAUCGUCACAUCUUACGUUCUGGCUCAUGUUGCCCAGUUUGACUGUCGACUUCAUCACAUGGCAUUUACUAACGGAAAUACAACACGUAACAAGCUAUUGCAAGAAAUUAAGGCAAGUGCAAAUCUCAAGUAAAACUUCGAUCGCAAUAAUGGAUCUGUCAUGACGAGUGGGUAGUUCCGACACGAAUCGUUUUUAAGCCAAUGACUACUGCUAGAGUUAUAUGGCACUAGUACAGUAAAACAGGACAUGAGACUGUAAAUUGUCGCUGAAAUUUUAGAAUCUACUCAAUUCAAUACCAAUAACACUACACGUUCGAUGACUUCGGGCUCCAGCAAGCAAGCAAACAAGAAAGCAAGCAAGUUUCCGUGGGGAUGAAAAAUUGACACAUCUGAAGUCGUCGUGACUUGUAAGAUAAGACGUCCGGUGCGUUCGUGUCUGGCGAUGCGGCGGUGUUCGGGUUCCGCUGGCGGAUGCAGGUUUUUCCGGUGAAGUGCGUGCUUGUGCGUGUUUGACAAGUGUUCGCGGUUGGCUUCCUCAGUGUAGGAGUAACAUCGUGUAAGAGAGGUGGAACCCGUAAAAUUGUAGUUUGCGUGGAGGCUGGUAAGAUUUGUUGCGGUAAGAAGUUUGCAUGGUGGUAAAAUGUCUUGUGAGUCUACAUAGGUAGCCGGAGGUGAGACUUCCGCGGUCGCGGCCCACCCAGUCCGCGAGAACCGGGCAGAUCGCCUCGACGGUACGGAGGCCGGCUGACGGGUCCGCCAAACGACGAGACCACGCCUCCAGCACGGACUGCCGAUAUUGGAGCCCCCGCGCUCCGGCUGCACUUGCGCUAGGGCGCGCCGCCUCGUAGGAGACUGUGAGCCUGCAAAACCUGAACAACCUCCUCAUCCGUGGGCGCCCGGCUCUCGCCUGCAAGUCGGCUGUUACGUGUGCGGUGAUGCGAGCCAUGUAGCUUCUGGGUGUUCCAUGCGCUACAAGAAGAAAAACGACACUGCUCCAGGUGCUGUGGCAGGUCCAACCAGAGACGUCAACGUGUGUUCCAGAGCUUCAGUGUGUUACAGAUAAGUGGUUUUGGCUCCCCCUUUAUGUUCCAUUCAGGGUCAGAAUGUAGUCUUAUAAAACAAAGCCAUAGUAAUUUAUUCAAUGGUAAGCGGUUUCAUGAACAAGUCACCGUAGUCACCCUAGACACGUCCUUACGGAUCCAUCAGAUCCAAUAACUCUUGCAUUAGAUA